RNAcentral lists this ribosomal RNA (736 nucleotides) under Streptomyces sp. RNAcentral's name for it is "bacterial SSU rRNA". It matches the Rfam family "Bacterial small subunit ribosomal RNA", at positions 71 to 822 of the family's 1533-position model. The record is from RNAcentral. Lineage: Bacteria; Bacillati; Actinomycetota; Actinomycetes; Kitasatosporales; Streptomycetaceae.
GAACCUCCUUCGGGAGGGGAUUAGUGGCGAACGGGUGAGUAACACGUGGGCAAUCUGCCCUGCACUCUGGGACAAGCCCUGGAAACGGGGUCUAAUACCGGAUAUGAGCCUGGGAGGCAUCUCCCGGGUUGUAAAGCUCCGGCGGUGCAGGAUGAGCCCGCGGCCUAUCAGCUUGUUGGUGAGGUAACGGCUCACCAAGGCGACGACGGGUAGCCGGCCUGAGAGGGCGACCGGCCACACUGGGACUGAGACACGGCCCAGACUCCUACGGGAGGCAGCAGUGGGGAAUAUUGCACAAUGGGCGCAAGCCUGAUGCAGCGACGCCGCGUGAGGGAUGACGGCCUUCGGGUUGUAAACCUCUUUCAGCAGGGAAGAAGCGAAAGUGACGGUACCUGCAGAAGAAGCGCCGGCUAACUACGUGCCAGCAGCCGCGGUAAUACGUAGGGCGCAAGCGUUGUCCGGAAUUAUUGGGCGUAAAGAGCUCGUAGGCGGCUUGUCGCGUCGGAUGUGAAAGCCCGGGGCUUAACCCCGGGUCUGCAUUCGAUACGGGCAGGCUAGAGUUCGGUAGGGGAGAUCGGAAUUCCUGGUGUAGCGGUGAAAUGCGCAGAUAUCAGGAGGAACACCGGUGGCGAAGGCGGAUCUCUGGGCCGAUACUGACGCUGAGGAGCGAAAGCGUGGGGAGCGAACAGGAUUAGAUACCCUGGUAGUCCACGCCGUAAACGGUGGGCACUAGGUG